RNAcentral lists this ribosomal RNA (463 nucleotides) under uncultured bacterium. RNAcentral's name for it is "partial 16S ribosomal RNA". It matches the Rfam family "Bacterial small subunit ribosomal RNA", at positions 28 to 507 of the family's 1533-position model. The record is from RNAcentral.
GACGAACGCUGGCGGCGUGCUUAACACAUGCAAGUCGAACGCUGAACCCGCUUCGGUGGGGGAUGAGUGGCGAACGGGUGAGUAACACGUGGGCAACCUGCCCCCGGCUCUGGGAUAACUCCAAGAAAUUGGGGCUAAUACCGGAUGUGACCGCUGGCCGCAUGGUCUGGUGGUGGAAAGGGUUUCCGGCUGGGGAUGGGCCCGCGGCCUAUCAGCUUGUUGGUGGGGUAGUGGCCUACCAAGGCGACGACGGGUAGCCGGCCUGAGAGGGUGACCGGCCACUGGGGACUGAGACACGGCCAGGACCCCUAGGGGGGGAAGCAGGGGGGAUUAUGCGGCAAGGGCCGGAGGCCGAACGCAGCGACGCGGGGUGGGGAUGACGGCCUUCGGGUUGUAAACCUCUUUCAGCAGGGACGAAGCGCAAGUGACGGUGCCUGCAGAAGAAGCACCGGCCAACUACGUG